This 535-nucleotide unclassified non-coding RNA is filed under the name Homarus americanus (American lobster). RNAcentral describes it as "endoribonuclease LACTB2-like, transcript variant X3". The record is from RNAcentral. Lineage: Eukaryota; Metazoa; Arthropoda; Malacostraca; Decapoda; Nephropidae.
UAAUUUUAUUAACUAGUCACUCAGACUCAAAGUGACAAGUCACUCCAGAGUCGAAUCGCAGACACAGAGUCACAGUGAGUCAGCUAAUUCUUGGUCACCUGGGCACCGUCGAGAGUGGAUAAACCAUGGCAGCUUUCCUAGCGAAAAUAACGCCUAUCAGUUCCCGAAUAAUUCGUAUUUUAGGAUGUAACCCAGGACCCAUGACACUACAGGGCACCAACACCUAUCUCAUUGGCACUGGCAGAAGGUGAUGUAAAUGUAUACAAACUUCCUCGAGCUGAUGUGCCAGAAGACCCCUUGCCUGAGUCAGCCAGACUGAUAAAACUUAAGCACAAAGAGGAAAUCAAAACUGAAGGAGCAACACUCAUAGCUCACCAUACUCCAGGUCACACCACUGACCAUGUUGUUUUGGAAUUGAAUGAAGAGAGGGCAGUGUUUACUGGUGACUGUAUCUUAGGUGAAGGAACAGCAGUGUUUGAGGAUCUUUACACCUAUAUGAAUUCACUAAAAGUAAGCAACUCAUCUUUCCAUUUUU